GGGGAUGUCAAGGUUUCGACGGGGGUCGUUGAGAUCCUGGGAGCUAUCCGUGGGCCGGGCCACGUACAAAACCGGACCUAAAUAUAAACGCUAACAAAAACGAAUACAAUUUCGCUUUCGCUGCUUAAUCAUUUGAUUGCAGCCGCUCUGGCUUAGGCGGACCCGCGGUCUAUUUCAGGGCUCAUCCAUAGCGGGCUCCUUGCGUACGCUGCUUGUGCGUCCGCAAAGACCCUUACAAGCUGCCGGUCCUUAUGCCCUGCCGACGGGGCUUAGCAUCGGGAGAUCCUAAACAUCGGCUAUGAUAGUAGAGCCCCGGAUGGAGGGGCUUUCGGACAUGGGUUCAAUUCCCAUCAUCUCCAU
Molecule: transfer-messenger RNA, 360 nt
Filed under: bovine gut metagenome
Rfam family: transfer-messenger RNA
About the family: Bacterial tmRNA, also known as 10Sa RNA or SsrA, is named for its dual tRNA and mRNA-like properties.
Source: RNAcentral